UGGGGGAUAUUGCACAAUGGGCGAAAGCCUGAUGCAGCGACGCCGCGUGGGGGAUGAAGGCCUUCGGGUUGUAAACUUCUUUUGCUCUGAACAAGGCGCACCAUGGGGUGUGUUGAGUGUAGGGGUUGAUUAGCGCCGGCUAACUACGUGCCAGCAGCCGCGGUAAUACGUAGGGCGCGAGCGUUGUCCGGAAUUAUUGGGCGUAAAGGGCUUGUAGGUGGCUGGUUGCGUCUGUCGUGAAAGCUCAUGGCUUAACUGUGGGUUUGCGGUGGGUACGGGCUGGCUUGAGUGCAGUAGGGGAGGCUGGAAUUCCUGGUGUAGCGGUGGAAUGCGCAGAUAUCAGGAGGAAUACCGGUGCGAAGGCGGGUCUCUGGGCUGUUACUGACACUGAGGAGCGAAAGGAUGGGGAGCGAACAGG
RNAcentral lists this ribosomal RNA (418 nucleotides) under bacterium. RNAcentral's name for it is "partial 16S ribosomal RNA". It matches the Rfam family "Bacterial small subunit ribosomal RNA", at positions 355 to 776 of the family's 1533-position model. The record is from RNAcentral.